This 381-nucleotide long non-coding RNA is filed under the name Equus caballus (horse). RNAcentral describes it as "lncRNA (ENSECAG00000053383.1)". Lineage: Eukaryota; Metazoa; Chordata; Mammalia; Perissodactyla; Equidae. The record is from RNAcentral.
AACAAAUUGGUGGCCCCGAUCAUGCUAAACAUUGUGGGGGAGUGCUAGAACCAUGAGGUUAGCAUAACAGCAUAAACAAGAAGAAAUCAAACUCCUAAAGAUCCAUUCCCACUCCUUUCUCACAGUUAAGCAACUAUCUUUUCUCUUCCCCUUUAGGAAAUGGGAGGUACAGUCUCUGGAGAAAAUGAACUAUGGAAGCUUUGGACUUGGGGCCACCAAACACGGAAGAAGGUGUAGGGCAGGAGUCAGCAAAUUUUUUUCCGUAAAGAUCCAGAUGCAACAACGAAAACCUGGAAACCAUCCAAGCAUCCACCAAGAGGAGAAUGGAUAAAUAAAAUAUGUCGUGUCCAUAUGGUGGACUACUAUUCAGCAACAACAAAA